GUGUCAGCAGCCGCGGUAAUACGUAGGCAGCAAGCGUUGUUCGGAAUUACUGGGCGUAAAGCGAGUGUAGGUGGUGCUAUAAGUUUGGUGUGAAAUCUCCCGGCUCAACUGGGAGGGUGCGCCGAAGACUGUAGUGCUAGAGUGUGGGAGAGGUAGGCGGAAUUCCUGGUGUAGCGGUGAAAUGCGUAGAUAUCAGGAGGAACACCUGCGGUGUAGACGGCUUACUGGACCACGACUGACACUGAAACUCGAAAGUGUGGGGAGCAAACAGGAUUAGAUACCCUGGUAGUCC
Molecule: ribosomal RNA, 292 nt
Filed under: uncultured bacterium
Lineage: Bacteria
Description: partial 16S ribosomal RNA
Rfam family: Bacterial small subunit ribosomal RNA
Source: RNAcentral